Molecule: ribosomal RNA, 481 nt
Filed under: uncultured bacterium
Lineage: Bacteria
Description: partial 16S ribosomal RNA
Rfam family: Bacterial small subunit ribosomal RNA
Source: RNAcentral
AACGAACGUUGGCGGCGUGGAUUAGGCAUGCAAGUCGAGCGAGAACCCAGCAAUGGGGGACAGCGGCGUAAGGGACAGUAAUGUGUAGAUUAUCUGCCCUCGGGACCGGGAUAGCUGCGGGAAACUGCAGGUAAUACCGGAUAACAUCUCCGGAUCAAAGGUGUGAUUCCGCCCGAGGAUGAGUCUGCAUCCUAUUAGCUAGUUGGCAGGGUAAUGGCCUACCAAGGCUUUGAUGGGUAGCGGGUGUGAGAGCACGACCGGCGUCAUUGGGGCUGAGACACUGCCCAGACACCUACGGGUGGCUGCAGUCGAGAAUCUUCGGCAAUGGGCGCAAGCCUGACCGAGCGACGCCGCGUGUGGGAUGAAGGCCUUCGGGUUGUAAACCACUGUUAGAGGGGAUGAAAUGCAGGUGGGUUCUCCCAUCUGUUUGACAUAGCCUCAGAGGAAGGACGGGCUAAGUUCGUGCCAGCCGCCGCCGUAA